RNAcentral lists this ribosomal RNA (678 nucleotides) under Triticum aestivum (bread wheat). Its description in RNAcentral is "partial small subunit ribosomal RNA". The record is from RNAcentral. Lineage: Eukaryota; Viridiplantae; Streptophyta; Magnoliopsida; Poales; Poaceae.
AUGUUUUGGUGGGGCUGUAAAGCUGGUGAACGAAAAGUGGCAUGGGUUUCAUGGGAUGUCAUGAUUCAACCUAAAUCAAUGGGAGGUUUGGGGUACAGAGAAUUGGAAUUAUUUAACUUAGCUCUGCUCACGACGCAGACGUGGAGGUUCCUACAGACCAAUUCUUUAAGUGUCAGAAUUCUCAAAUUUGUAUACUUCCCGGAGUCUUCGAUUUUGGAAGCCAAUCUUGGUUCACAUCCUUCACAAAUAUGAAGAUUUAUUGUUGAAGGAAGGGAUGUCCUUACCUAGGGCUUAAUCGGGAAAAUUGGAAAUGGUGUGACGGCGAAGAUAUGGGGUCAUAAUUGGCCGCCUCGAGAGGGAGCAGUGAGAUCGAUUACUACUCCAAAUCAUGCUAAUGACUCUAUGGUUAGUGAACUUAUUGACGAAACUUUGACCUAUUGGAGGGAGGAGUUGGUGCGCAACACAUUCUUACCUAUGGAUGCCUCGGUCAUCCUAGGAAUCCCUUUGUGCACCCGUAAUAUAUCUGAAUUUUGGUCUUGGGCUCAUGAUAAAAGAGGUAUUUUCAAUGUCCGUUCAACCUACCAGAUGAUUGUUCAGACCAAGUAUAAUCGAGAAGGGUGGUUAUUUCAUAAAUCUGGGUCAUCGACAACUGCAGCUGAAGGGGGAGAUUUGGUGUAA